RNAcentral lists this ribosomal RNA (270 nucleotides) under uncultured bacterium. Its description in RNAcentral is "partial 16S ribosomal RNA". It matches the Rfam family "Bacterial small subunit ribosomal RNA", at positions 334 to 596 of the family's 1533-position model. The record is from RNAcentral.
UAUGCCUACGGGAGGCAGCAGUAGGGAAUUUUCGUCAAUGGGCGCAAGCCUGAACGAGCAAUGCCGCGUGAACGAGGAAGGUCUUCGGAUCGUAAAGUUCUGUUGAAGGGGAAAAAGAGCGGAGAGAGGAAAUGGUCUCCGAUUGAUAUUACCCUUCGAGGAAGUCACGGCUAACUACGUGCCAGCAGCCGCGGUAAUACGGAGGAUGCUCGCGUUAUCCGGCUUUAUUGGGUUUAAAGGGUGCGCAGGCGGCACGGCAAGCCGGCGGUC